Eleginops maclovinus (Patagonian blennie) is the source of this 289-nucleotide long non-coding RNA. RefSeq lists it as uncharacterized. The record is from RefSeq and is a predicted model, not a curated record. Lineage: Eukaryota; Metazoa; Chordata; Actinopteri; Perciformes; Eleginopidae. The transcript has 3 exons.
GGAGUAGCCGGAUACUGCAGCAGCCUCUCCUUCACUCUGACUGCUUCAGGAGGAAUUCAAGCCUGUCAAGACGAUAAAACACUUGGACAAAGUUUGAUUGGAUUAGAAAAGCAGCACUUGGGGAGUUCAGCUGACGGGGAGUACUGCAGAAUGAAAAGCAGCUUCUGACUCGACGAGGAUCUCCAUGAUGCAUGAGAAGGAGCCCUAAUCAUCAUUACCAACGCUAGCCAGGAGCCACGCUAGCUUCCAGCAGAACGCCAAGCAUGAAGAUCAGAGAGGGGGACAGGUG